CAGCCSCCSCGGUAAUUCARAGGGKGCAAGCGUUAAUCGGAAUUACUGGGCGUAAAGCGAGCGUAGGUGGCUUGAUAAGUCAGAUGUGAAAUCCCCGGGCUUAACCUGGGAACUGCAUCUGAAACUGUUAGGCUAGAGUAGGUGAGAGGGAAGUAGAAUUUCAGGUGUAGCGGUGAAAUGCGUAGAGAUCUGAAGGAAUACCGAUGGCGAAGGCAGCUUCCUGGCAUCAUACUGACACUGAGGCUCGAAAGCGUGGGUAGCAAACAGGAUUAGAUACCCUGGUAGUCCACGCCGUAAACGUUGUCUACUAGUCGUUGGGUCCCUUGAGGACUUAGUGACGCAGCUAACGCAAUAAGUAGACCGCCUGGGGAGUACGGCCGCAAGGUUAAAACUCAAAUGAAUUGACGGGGGCCCGCACAAGCGGUGGAGCAUGUGGUUUAAUUCGAUGCAACGCGAAGAACCUUACCUGGUCUUGACAUAUCUAGAAUCCUGCAGAGAUGCGGGAGUGCCUUCGGGAAUUAGAAUACAGGUGCUGCAUGGCUGUCGUCAGCUCGUGUCGUGAGACGUUGGGUUAAGUCCCGCAACGAGCGCAACCCUUGUCCUUAGUUACCAGCGGGUUAAGCCGGGAACUCUAAGGAUACUGCCAGUGACAAACUGGAGGAAGGCGGGGACGACGUCAAGUCAUCAUGGCCCUUACGACCAGGGCUACACACGUGCUACAAUGGUAGGUACAGAGGGCAGCUACACAGCGAUGUGAUGCGAAUCUCAAAAAGCCUAUCGUAGUCCAGAUUGGAGUCUGCAACUCGACUCCAUGAAGUAGGAAUCGCUAGUAAUCGCGGAUCAGAAUGCCGCGGUGAAUACGUUCCCGGGCCUUGUACACACCGCCCGU
RNAcentral lists this ribosomal RNA (889 nucleotides) under uncultured bacterium. RNAcentral's name for it is "bacterial SSU rRNA". It matches the Rfam family "Bacterial small subunit ribosomal RNA", at positions 509 to 1397 of the family's 1533-position model. The record is from RNAcentral.